UGGGGAAUUUUGGACAAUGGGCGAAAGCCUGAUCCAGCCAUUCCGCGUGCAGGAUGAAGGCCCUCGGGUUGUAAACUGCUUUUGUACGGAACGAAAAGGCUUCUUCUAAUACAGGAGGCUCAUGACGGUACCGUAAGAAUAAGCACCGGCUAACUACGUGCCAGCAGCCGCGGUAAUACGUAGGGUGCAAGCGUUAAUCGGAAUUACUGGGCGUAAAGCGUGCGCAGGCGGUGAUGUAAGACAGAUGUGAAAUCCCCGGGCUCAACCUGGGAACUGCAUUUGUGACUGCAUCGCUGGAGUACGGCAGAGGGGGAUGGAAUUCCGCGUGUAGCAGUGAAAUGCGUAGAUAUGCGGAGGAACACCGAUGACGAAGGCAAUCCCCUGGGCCUGUACUGACGCUCAUGCACGAAAGCGUGGGGAGCAAAC
This 426-nucleotide ribosomal RNA is filed under the name uncultured bacterium. Its description in RNAcentral is "bacterial SSU rRNA". It matches the Rfam family "Bacterial small subunit ribosomal RNA", at positions 355 to 773 of the family's 1533-position model. The record is from RNAcentral.